AAAUUGAAGAGUUUGAUCAUGGCUCAGAUUGAACGCUGGCGGCAGGCCUAACACAUGCAAGUCGAGCGGAAACGAGUUAUCUGAACCUUCGGGGGACGAUAACGGCGUCGAGCGGCGGACGGGUGAGUAAUGCCUAGGAAAUUGCCCUGAUGUGGGGGAUAACCAUUGGAAACGAUGGCUAAUACCGCAUGAUGCCUACGGGCCAAAGAGGGGGACCUUCGGGCCUCUCGCGUCAGGAUAUGCCUAGGUGGGAUUAGCUAGUUGGUGAGGUAAGGGCUCACCAAGGCGACGAUCCCUAGCUGGUCUGAGAGGAUGAUCAGCCACACUGGAACUGAGACACGGUCCAGACUCCUACGGGAGGCAGCAGUGGGGAAUAUUGCACAAUGGGCGCAAGCCUGAUGCAGCCAUGCCGCGUGUGUGAAGAAGGCCUUCGGGUUGUAAAGCACUUUCAGUCGUGAGGAAGGUAGCGUAGUUAAUAGCUGCAUUAUUUGACGUUAGCGACAGAAGAAGCACCGGCUAACUCCGUGCCAGCAGCCGCGGUAAUACGGAGGGUGCGAGCGUUAAUCGGAAUUACUGGGCGUAAAGCGCAUGCAGGUGGUUUGUUAAGUCAGAUGUGAAAGCCCGGGGCUCAACCUCGGAAUAGCAUUUGAAACUGGCAGACUAGAGUACUGUAGAGGGGGGUAGAAUUUCAGGUGUAGCGGUGAAAUGCGUAGAGAUCUGAAGGAAUACCGGUGGCGAAGGCGGCCCCCUGGACAGAUACUGACACUCAGAUGCGAAAGCGUGGGGAGCAAACAGGAUUAGAUACCCUGGUAGUCCACGCCGUAAACGAUGUCUACUUGGAGGUUGUGGCCUUGAGCCGUGGCUUUCGGAGCUAACGCGUUAAGUAGACCGCCUGGGGAGUACGGUCGCAAGAUUAAAACUCAAAUGAAUUGACGGGGGCCCGCACAAGCGGUGGAGCAUGUGGUUUAAUUCGAUGCAACGCGAAGAACCUUACCUACUCUUGACAUCCAGAGAACUUUCCAGAGAUGGAUUGGUGCCUUCGGGAACUCUGAGACAGGUGCUGCAUGGCUGUCGUCAGCUCGUGUUGUGAAAUGUUGGGUUAAGUCCCGCAACGAGCGCAACCCUUAUCCUUGUUUGCCAGCGAGUAAUGUCGGGAACUCCAGGGAGACUGCCGGUGAUAAACCGGAGGAAGGUGGGGACGACGUCAAGUCAUCAUGGCCCUUACGAGUAGGGCUACACACGUGCUACAAUGGCGCAUACAGAGGGCGGCCAACUUGCGAAAGUGAGCGAAUCCCAAAAAGUGCGUCGUAGUCCGGAUUGGAGUCUGCAACUCGACUCCAUGAAGUCGGAAUCGCUAGUAAUCGUGGAUCAGAAUGCCACGGUGAAUACGUUCCCGGGCCUUGUACACACCGCCCGUCACACCAUGGGAGUGGGCUGCAAAAGAAGUAGGUAGUUUAACCUUCGGGGGGACGCUUACCACUUUGUGGUUCAUGACUGGGGUGAAGUCGUAACAAGGUAGCGCUAGGGGAACCUGGCGCUGGAUCACCUCCUUA
Molecule: ribosomal RNA, 1553 nt
Filed under: Vibrio sp. SCSIO 43097
Lineage: Bacteria; Pseudomonadati; Pseudomonadota; Gammaproteobacteria; Vibrionales; Vibrionaceae
Description: bacterial SSU rRNA
Rfam family: Bacterial small subunit ribosomal RNA
Source: RNAcentral